Molecule: ribosomal RNA, 497 nt
Filed under: uncultured bacterium
Lineage: Bacteria
Description: partial 16S ribosomal RNA
Rfam family: Bacterial small subunit ribosomal RNA
Source: RNAcentral
GAUGAACGCUGGCGGCGUGCCUAAUACAUGCGAGUCGAGCGAACAGACGAGGAGCUUGCUCCUCUGACGUUAGCGGCGGACGGGUGAGUAACACGUGGAUAACCUACCUAUAAGACUGGGAUAACUUCGGGAAACCGGAGCUAAUACCGGAUAAUAUAUUGAACCGCAUGGUUCAAUAGUGAAAGACGGUUUUGCUGUCACUUAUAGAUGGAUCCGCGCCGCAUUAGCUAGUUGGUAAGGUAACGGCUUACCAAGGCGACGAUGCGUAGUCGACCUGAGAGGGUGAUCGGCCACACUGGAACUGAGACACGGUCCAGACUCCUACGGGAGGCAGCAGUAGGGAAUCUUCCGCAAUGGGCGAAAGCCUGACGGAGCAACGCCGCGUGAGUGAUGAAGGUCUUCGGAUCGUAAAACUCUGUUAUUAGGGAAGAACAAAUGUGUAAGUAACUAUGCACGUCUUGACGGUACCUAAUCAGAAAGCCACGGCUAACUACGUG